ACGUACACUCCUACGGGAGGCAGCAGUGGGGAAUAUUGGACAAUGGGCGCAAGCCUGAUCCAGCCAUGCCGCGUGAGUGAUGAAGGCCCUAGGGUUGUAAAGCUCUUUCACCGGUGAAGAUAAUGACGGUAACCGGAGAAGAAGCCCCGGCUAACUUCGUGCCAGCAGCCGCGGUAAUACGAAGGGGGCUAGCGUUGUUCGGAUUUACUGGGCGUAAAGCGCACGUAGGCGGACUAUUAAGUCAGGGGUGAAAUCCCGGGGCUCAACCCCGGAACUGCCUUUGAUACUGGUAGUCUUGAGUUCGAGAGAGGUGAGUGGAAUUCCGAGUGUAGAGGUGAAAUUCGUAGAUAUUCGGAGGAACACCAGUGGCGAAGGCGGCUCACUGGCUCGAAACUGACGCUGAGGUGCGAAAGCGUGGGGAGCAAACAGGAUUAGAUACCCGAGUAGUCCCAUG
RNAcentral lists this ribosomal RNA (454 nucleotides) under uncultured organism. RNAcentral describes it as "partial 16S ribosomal RNA". It matches the Rfam family "Bacterial small subunit ribosomal RNA", at positions 329 to 799 of the family's 1533-position model. The record is from RNAcentral.